AGAGUUUGAUCAUGGCUCAGGAUAAACGCUGGCGGCGCACAUAAGACAUGCAAGUCGAACGAACUUAACUCAUUCUUUACGAUUGAGAGCGGUUAGUGGCGGACUGGUGAGUAAUACGUAAGCAACCUGCCUAUCAGAGGGGAAUAACAGUGAGAAAUCAUUGCUAAUACCGCAUAUGCUAACAGUAUUGCAUGAUACAGUUAGGAAAGGAGCAAUCCGCUGAUAGAUGGGCUUACGCCUGAUUAGCUAGUUGGUGGGGCAACGGCCUACCAAGGCGACGAUCAGUAGCCGGACUGAGAGGUUGAACGGCCACAUUGGGACUGAGAUACGGCCCAGACUCCUACGGGAGGCAGCAGUCGGGAAUAUUGCGCAAUGGAGGAAACUCUGACGCAGUGACGCCGCGUAUAGGAAGAAGGUUUUCGGAUUGUAAACUAUUGUCGUUAGGGAAGAUAAAAGACUGUACCUAAGGAGGAAGCCCCGGCUAACUAUGUGCCAGCAGCCGCGGUAAUACAUAGGGGGCAAGCGUUAUCCGGAAUUAUUGGGUGUAAAGGGUGCGUAGACGGAGAGACAAGUUGGUUGUGAAAUCCCUCGGCUCAACUGAGGAACUGCAACCAAAACUAUUUCCCUUGAGUGUCGGAGAGGAAAGUGGAAUUCCUAGUGUAGCGGUGAAAUGCGUAGAUAUUAGGAGGAACACCAGUGGCGAAGGCGACUUUCUGGACGAUAACUGACGUUGAGGCACGAAAGUGUGGGGAGCAAACAGGAUUAGAUACCCUGGUAGUCCACACCGUAAACGAUGGAUA
Molecule: ribosomal RNA, 800 nt
Filed under: uncultured bacterium
Lineage: Bacteria
Description: bacterial SSU rRNA
Rfam family: Bacterial small subunit ribosomal RNA
Source: RNAcentral